RNAcentral lists this ribosomal RNA (449 nucleotides) under uncultured bacterium. RNAcentral describes it as "partial 16S ribosomal RNA". It matches the Rfam family "Bacterial small subunit ribosomal RNA", at positions 29 to 523 of the family's 1533-position model. The record is from RNAcentral.
AACGAACGCUGGCGGCAUGCCUAACACAUGCAAGUCGAACGAGACCUUCGGGUCUAGUGGCGCACGGGUGCGUAACGCGUGGGAAUCUACCCUUGGGUUCGGAAUAACAGUUAGAAAUGACUGCUAAUACCGGAUGAUGACGUAAGUCCAAAGAUUUAUCGCCCAAGGAUGAGCCCGCGUAAGAUUAGCUUGUUGGUGGGGUAAUGGCCUACCAAGGCGACGAUCUUUAGCUGGUCUGAGAGGAUGAUCAGCCACACUGGGACUGAGACACGGCCCAGACUCCUACGGGAGGCAGCAGUGGGGAAUAUUGGACAAUGGGCGAAAGCCUGAUACAGCAAUGCCGCGUGAGUGAUGAAGGCCUUAGGGUUGUAAAGCUCCUUUACCAGGGAUGAUAAUGACAGUACCUGGAGAAUAAGCUCCGGCUAACUCCGUGCCAGCCGCCGCAGUAA